Molecule: long non-coding RNA, 150 nt
Organism: Telopea speciosissima
Lineage: Eukaryota; Viridiplantae; Streptophyta; Magnoliopsida; Proteales; Proteaceae
Exons: 3
Source: RefSeq, a predicted model, not a curated record
CAAUAAAGACCAAUCGAGAGAGAACGAGGGAGAGCGAGAACCAGGGAGAUCAGAAGAGAAUUAAUCCCUUCCUGAACCCUCGCCCCUAGAAUCUCAAGAUUGUUUCAGAACAGAUUAAAAACAAGAAAAAGAAUGGGAGGAAAAUAAAUA